This 76-nucleotide transfer RNA is filed under the name Enterobacteriaceae bacterium. RNAcentral's name for it is "tRNA-Lys". It matches the Rfam family "tRNA". From Rfam's summary of the family: Transfer RNA (tRNA) molecules are approximately 80 nucleotides in length. Their secondary structure includes four short double-helical elements and three loops (D, anti-codon, and T loops). Lineage: Bacteria; Pseudomonadati; Pseudomonadota; Gammaproteobacteria; Enterobacterales; Enterobacteriaceae. The record is from RNAcentral.
GGGUCGUUAGCUCAGUCGGUAGAGCAGUUGACUCUUAAUCAAUUGGUCUGGGGUUCGAAUCCCUAACGGCCCACCA